This 675-nucleotide ribosomal RNA is filed under the name uncultured bacterium. RNAcentral describes it as "bacterial SSU rRNA". It matches the Rfam family "Bacterial small subunit ribosomal RNA", at positions 622 to 1300 of the family's 1533-position model. The record is from RNAcentral.
UGCCUUUGAUACUGGUUAUCUUGAGUUGUAUUGAAGUAGGCGGAAUAUGUAGUGUAGCGGUGAAAUGCAUAGAUAUUACAUAGAACACCAAUUGCGAAGGCAGCUUACUAAGUACUAACUGACGCUGAUGGACGAAAGCGUGGGUAGCGAACAGGAUUAGAUACCCUGGUAGUCCACGCCGUAAACGAUGGAUACUAGCUGUUCGGGGCCUUGAGCUCUGAGCGGCUAAGCGAAAGUGAUAAGUAUCCCACCUGGGGAGUACGUUCGCAAGAAUGAAACUCAAAGGAAUUGACGGGGGCCCGCACAAGCGGUGGAGCAUGUGGUUUAAUUCGAUGAUACGCGAGGAACCUUACCAGGGCUUAAAUGUAGUCUGACAGCUUUAGAGAUAGAGUUUUCUUCGGACAGAUUACAAGGUGCUGCAUGGUUGUCGUCAGCUCGUGCCGUGAGGUGUCAGGUUAAGUCCUAUAACGAGCGCAACCCCUGUCGUUAGUUGCCAGCAUGUCAUGAUGGGGACUCUAACGAGACUGCCGGUGCAAACCGCGAGGAAGGUGGGGAUGACGUCAAAUCAUCACGGCCCUUACGUCCUGGGCCACACACGUGCUACAAUGGCCGGUACAGAGAGCAGCCACGUCGCAAGGCGGAGCGAAUCUAUAAAACCGGUCACAGUUCGGAUCG